Long non-coding RNA from Puntigrus tetrazona (Sumatra barb), 948 nucleotides. RefSeq lists it as uncharacterized. The transcript has 3 exons. Lineage: Eukaryota; Metazoa; Chordata; Actinopteri; Cypriniformes; Cyprinidae. The record is from RefSeq and is a predicted model, not a curated record.
GGCACGUUCAUUCAUGCCUGCGCUUCUUGCUGAUACGAUCCCCGGAACGCGCCCAUAUAUGGUCUGUCCUUCAAAGAAGAACAGGAUGCAAGACAAAGUUAACGUUACAGCUCUGUUUAUGAGCAUGUGUAAAAGUGCCUGCAGCAACCUGAGGUUUUCUGACUCAUCGUGGAACAGCACAUAAGGAUAUGUUUAUGGAAAGAUCAGUCCUUGCCCUAAGACUCUCUUGUCUGUCUGCUCAGAGGAUCCUGAAUGAAGUCAUGGACAAACUUGCAUAUCUUUGUGUUUUUAGUCAAACACCCCACAAACAGAGUCAAGGCCCUCUCCCCCACAACGCUGUCUGCCCACACAGACACUUCCAUCAGCCUUUCUUACAGUAUGAUCAGACAGGUCAGGAAAUCAAAUUCAGUCAUUUAUGGGUGCGGCUGCAAUUUGGGAGUAGGGAGAAGACUGUUUGGCUUGAAGAAGUGGAAACAUUUUUACAAAACGUCACAGCUAAGACCAUGGUGGUCCAUUAUGUCAGAUCAGCCAUGUUGAACACCCAAAUUAAAAAAAAGAAAACACCCAGAAUAGUAUACACCAGUCAAAACAAGUGCUACUUAGCUAACAGAAUGAUCCCAUGUUGAUGGAAAUAUAUAUAAAGUGGAAAUAUAAUGUAUUUUGCUGAUGGAUCUAACUGAAUUAUGAUUGUUAGAAUGGCUAUAGUAUUAGGACAGUAUUUGUUCCUUUUCCAAAAAAACUACACAUUAUACUGAUUCAUAUCCUUCAAAGAAAGGAUUAGACAAAAUGUUAGACCUUGUCCACUAGGUGUCAUCCUGAGAUAAAACGACAGCCCAGAAGUGCCCUAAACUCUAAGUGGGUCAUCUUCUAUCAUGUUGUGGCUAGCAAAUGUGGUUCUCUCAAAUUGGAUGCCAUGUGAUUUACCAAAAUGGAAAGUCUUCUUUUACA